GAUGAACGCUGGCGGCGUGCCUAAUACAUGCAAGUCGAGCGAACAGAUGAGGAGCUUGCUCCUCUGACGUUAGCGGCGGACGGGUGAGUAACACGUGGAUAACCUGCCUAUAAGACUGGGAUAACUUCGGGAAACCGGAGCUAAUACCGGAUAAUAUAUUGAACCGCAUGGUUCAAUAGUGAAAGACGGUUUUGCUGUCACUUAUAGAUGGAUCCGCGCCGCAUUAGCUAGUUGGUAAGGUAACGGCUUACCAAGGCAACGAUGCGUAGCCGACCUGAGAGGGUGAUCGGCCACACUGGAACUGAGACACGGUCCAGACUCCUACGGGAGGCAGCAGUAGGGAAUCUUCCGCAAUGGGCGAAAGCUUGACGGAGCAACGCCGCGUGAGUGAUGAAGGUCUUCGGAUCGUAAAACUCUGUUAUUAGGGAAGAACAAAUGUGUAAGUAACUAUGCACGUCUUGACGGUACCUACUCAGAAAGCCACGGCUAACUACGUG
Molecule: ribosomal RNA, 497 nt
Filed under: uncultured bacterium
Lineage: Bacteria
Description: partial 16S ribosomal RNA
Rfam family: Bacterial small subunit ribosomal RNA
Source: RNAcentral